RNAcentral lists this ribosomal RNA (245 nucleotides) under uncultured bacterium. Its description in RNAcentral is "partial 16S ribosomal RNA". It matches the Rfam family "Bacterial small subunit ribosomal RNA", at positions 524 to 768 of the family's 1533-position model. The record is from RNAcentral.
UACGUAGGGGGCAAGCGUUGUUCGGAAUUACUGGGCGUAAAGGGAGCGUAGGCGGAUUGGUAAGUUAGGAGUGAAAUCCAUAGGCUUAACCUGUGGGUUGCUUUUAAGACUGCCUUUCUUGAGUAUUGGAGAGGAUGAUGGAAUUCCAGGUGUAGCGGUGGAAUGCGUAGAUAUCUGGAAGAACACCAGUUGCGUAGGCGGUCAUCUGGCCAAAUACUGACGCUGAGGCUCGAAAGCUAGGGGAG